CCGACCUUAGCUCAGUUGGAAGAGCGCGAGACUGUAAGGGAUACCGUCAUCUUGAGGUCGCCUGUUCGAACCAGGCAGGUCGGA
This is a non-coding RNA of Tricholoma furcatifolium, 84 nucleotides long. The record is from the annotation of a GenBank genome assembly. Lineage: Eukaryota; Fungi; Basidiomycota; Agaricomycetes; Agaricales; Tricholomataceae.